CAUGUCCUUAUCUUGUCCCCUCCCCCUUCUCCCUUCUUUUUCUAGCUGUUCGUGCAAGAGCAUUUUUAAGUGAACUUGGUGCACGCAUCACAGGGACCCAAGUGGUUGAACAGCACAGAAAACAUUGUUUGAGCAGUGAAAGUGUGAUUCAAAGCAGAUUAUUUUAACAGCACCACGAGACAAACAUUUCAGCGGCACAGAGAACAGUGUUCAUGCAAGAUCCUUUGUAAGUGAACUUGGCGCAUGUGGCAUUCAACACAGCUGAGUGGGAUACCAAGCAUAAAACGGCACAGAAAAUAGACGCUGAUGAAGAACGGAUGUCCGAGGACCUUGCUGCUCAAAAAAUGAAGAUCUACAGCAUCAUGUCCAGCUCAGCAGAGGGGCCGAGCGAUGUUGGUGUCGUCAUUGAGGGAGUGAAAGUUCUCACCACUCUGGGUACCUUUGCCAGGGCUUGCUGCAUGCUCCUCGGGCUGACUUAUGCACUAAAUCUGGCCUACCCUAAGGAGCUCAGAUAUACAUUUGAAAUCUUCCAGAAGCUCCUUCUGGAGCUGGACUGUUCGAAGCAGUCCCCAAAGCUGCACACUUUGAAGAGUAAGUUGUUGGACUAAGGAAAUGCCGAACUGGACACUUGAGCUGAGGCGAUGCAAUGGACACUUGACUUCAGUUUUUCAGAACUUAAUGACUUAAAGAUUUACCUUUUAAUUUCUCCAAACACUACUUUUUCAAGCAGGUUGACACGCACAAAAAAGUCAAAUGUGUUAUGCCAUCAUCGGUUGAUUUGUUGAUAUCUGAUGUGUCUGUAGAUGUGUUUGAAGCUGUGAACGAAGCAUUAAUCUACUGUUAUAUCUACUGUGCCGUUAGCAAACUUAUGCUAAGACCGUGCGAUGGACACUUGAGCUGAGACAGUGCAAUGGACACUUGAGCUGAGGCAGUGCGAUGGACAGUGCAAUGGACACUUGAGCUGAAGCAGUGCAAUGGACACUUGAGCUGAGGCAGUGCGAUGGACAGUGCAAUGGACACUUGAGCUGAGACAGUGCAAUGGACACUUGAGCUGAAGCAGUGCGAUGGACAGUGCAAUGGACACUUGAGCUGAGACAGUGCAAUGGACACUUGAGCUGAGACAGUGCAAUGGACACUUGAGCUGAGGCAGUGCAAUGGACACUUGAGCUGAGGCAGUGCAAUGGACACUUACGCUUCUUCUAGAGUUCUUUAGUUCUUUAUUAGAGAUGCUCUGAUGCCUCCUCUUACAGGUCUUGCUUGCUCAAACUCUGUUUCUCUCGCUCGCUUGCUCGCUCACACACUAUCGCUGACACACACACACACACACACACACACACACACACACACUCACACGUUUGUGUAAUUGCAGGUACACAGUGAGGUCAUUACUUCUUCAUUAGAGCCUUUCAGGUGACUCCUUACACAGACCUCGCUCACUCUCUCGCGCACACACAAGAUUGUGCAUGCCUGUGAACUUCAGUUUUUUUUUUGUUUUGUUUUUUUACAUUUUUUUCUUUAUUUACAUAAACAUUGCACACGGUGCAUUCCUCUAAAACUUGUUUGUAUUUUGUGUGCACAAAUGAAUAUGCUUUUGUUUUUUUUUUUCUGUUGAGCAACCCAUUUUAGUGUUGCUAAAUUGAAGUGGGAAAGACAAAUAAAUGUUAUCUAAUU
Long non-coding RNA from Engraulis encrasicolus (European anchovy), 1671 nucleotides. RefSeq lists it as uncharacterized. The transcript has 4 exons. Lineage: Eukaryota; Metazoa; Chordata; Actinopteri; Clupeiformes; Engraulidae. The record is from RefSeq and is a predicted model, not a curated record.